AUUGAACGCUGGCGGCAGGCCUAACACAUGCAAGUCGAGCGGAUGAAGGGAGCUUGCUCCUGGAUUCAGCGGCGGACGGGUGAGUAAUGCCUAGGAAUCUGCCUGGUAGUUUGGGAUAACGUCCGGAAACGGGCGCUAAUACCGCAUACGUCCUGAGGGAGAAAGUGGGGGAUCUUCGGACCUCACGCUAUCAGAUGAGCCUAGGUCGGAUUAGCUAGUUGGUGGGGUAAAGGCCUACCAAGGCGACGAUCCGUAACUGGUCUGAGAGGAUGAUCAGUCAUACUGGAACUGAGACACGGUCCAGACUCCUACGGGAGGCAGCAGUGGGGAAUAUUGGACAAUGGGCGAAAGCCUGAUCCAGCCAUGCCGCGUGUGUGAAGAAGGUCUUCGGAUUGUAAAGCACUUUAAGUUGGGAGGAAGGGCAGUAAGUUAAUACCUUGCUGUUUUGACGUUACCAACAGAAUAAGCACCGGCUAACUUCGUG
Molecule: ribosomal RNA, 484 nt
Filed under: uncultured bacterium
Lineage: Bacteria
Description: partial 16S ribosomal RNA
Rfam family: Bacterial small subunit ribosomal RNA
Source: RNAcentral